UUCCGUGGUUCGUUUCGUUUCGUUCGGCGCGUCGUUCUAAGGAGCGGAGGAGGUCCAACCCGGAAAGAGAACAUCGUCAGUGGCAGACCAUGGUCGACCCCGCCCGCCCGCCUGACUGCCCGCUCCCCUACCCGCUACUACGGGCUCCGCCGCCACCGCCCCGCCGGCGGCUCGGCGACGACUUCUCCCGCGCCACGGCUGGGUUGACGGGGCCCACGUCCCACCUGUCCUCCUUCCUCCUCUCCCUCCCCGAGGGGCAGUGCCUCGAGACGACGUACACCGAGCAGUGGUAGACGAGGAGCAACGGAUAUGUCAUGCACAAAGGGAAGAACAUAAAAUACUAUUCUCUGGACUUGUAACGAUUUCUUCUUCUUCUAUAACCUAAAAUACGACCAAAACAACCACGAAGUAUAUACGAACCCUCUCGUGAGUGGAGACAUUAUACCCCUCAACACCGACUAUUCAUACCCUCCUUUGGUCAAGAAGAUUAAUGGGAAAAAAGUCAUUAAUAGAAGUUAUGUGAGAAACCUGAGUCGAGAUCAAUGACCUACCGUAAUUGGUGUUCUCCAGACGAACCCGACAACAGACCAUACGAACCUGGUUACUUCCAUGAAUGUACACGUACCCUCACGAAAAGAGAGUCCAUGAUCUUGGCAGGUAGCACAAAAACAUCGAAACACAAUCUUAAGUUGUCCGUGUAUUUUUUUCAUCUAGUUGAGCUCUACGACUUAAAAAUACACCUUUUGGGAACGCCUUUGGCGUCUACGCGCCGUCACGAGUGGAUAUAGCUCUCACAAUGUUGGUGGUCUGAUUGUUCCUCAGCAGUUGUGUGUGUAGGGCACGCCGAAUGUUGUCCACAUGCAUCCACCGCCGGUACGUCGAGUUCAGUUUCGCCUUUAGGUUAGGCGAUACUUCUUGGGUAUUGUUAUUAAAAUUUGAGCAAGUCGUUAAUUUAUAGGUAGUACACGGCUUUCAGAGAACCUGUAUUGUAGUUAAUUCGUACUCGUCUCGAGUUUGAAUCAUUAUCCUUGACCGAGCAGUAGUAUAGUCGUACUAAUAGUACUUACGAAUAGAACGUAUGGAAGUGUAAUGGACGACCGGAGACAAGGCCAUCUGAGACCGGAGAAAUGAAAGUUAAACUUAAGUAUAUAGUUGUGAAAGAACUGGUUGACGAUUCUAUUGUGGCCAAGGAUGAGAAUAAAGUCAUCUGAAUUAAAACACCACAAGAAGGUGUUCUCUUGCUUCAAGGUGUCUAAGUCAACAAGCACUACGUGUGACACCAAUCGAACAAUCGAACAAAACCUACUUCAAACAAAACAUAAUCAUUAGCUCCAGAAACAUUGACCCUACCAACGUGUGGUCUAUUUAAAGUCGGUUGGUCGAUCACAACCGUACCACGUGAUACAAACGUAAUAGGUUUUAUCAUAUUGACGGGUGAUACUGCGGUUAUUUUGUUUUACUUAAGUGUUCGAUCUUCAGUACUCACUCUACCACUACUAAUAAUCCCAUUUUUUCAUUUUAUAUACUGACCUAAUGUAACACAAGCUGAGUAAACACGGAAGUCCGAAUACGAAGUCUUCAUACAGCCUUUCUUGUGUCAGUGAACCGUAAUAGUGAGCAUUCUACUAGUUCAACAAUAAAGCUUAAGAAGAAAAUGAGUGUCAGGGUUGAAAUAACCUGGUACUAUGUUUGAGUGUAUAAAGAUACACGACCCAUUAGGUAGUCUACAGGAGGAGUGCACCGUAUCCAGAAUAACAACCUGGUCGGUAACCACCAAUAGAACGUGUCGGACGUCUAUUUAUAGGUCCGUAUAAGAGACAGUUGAGGUAUAAACCUUCCAAAGGCAUGAAAGAGGGAACAGAAACAUAUAGUGAGGAACGGUAACGGCGACAUUAACGAACGAAGACCGAAGGCCUUUGAAACGUAUUUGUGUGACUUCUGUGUUACAAUUUAUCAAGCUGACUUCGACAACUUCUUGGAACAAGACUAAAUUUACGACUUGUUUCACCAUCACCGACAGAGUCAAAUAAGUGUUUGACCGGUGACUACAGGUGAUAGUGACAUAUGACGUAAAAGAGAGAGGUCCUGUACCGAAUACGUCUCCAUAAAAGCGAAACCCGACAGUCACUGUCUUUUAUGCCACCUGAUUCGAAAAGAAGAGUUCUACACCCAUCCCAGGAAAGUUAGAGUCCAGAGAAUGAGGAUUAUAUAGUUUAAAACUAGAUAGGUAACCAACGUUUGAGACAUCUGGGGUAGUGUAAUCAGGCACGUUAACGCGAUAACUGUUAUGGUGAAGAAAGCUCGAUAGGUAAGUACGGACGUAAUAGUCCCAGGUAAGAAGUCAACCGUGAUUUAACACGCAGAAAAGACUUCUUGAGAAAGAGUCAUUGAUGGUACUGACACAAGUUGUAAAAUUACUUACUACGACACUCAGUCCUGGAUUCUCGGAGUCGGUUACCGGAAAGACACUGUGAUUACAGGUAGAAAUUUUGAUAGCGAGGUCGACAACGUCCUCAAUAUAAGAGUACCCGAGUCUCCGCAGUUUAUCGAGGUAAAGAAGGUCCGCUGGUGAACCACAAGAAAUACGACUUACACAAGUGCCAAUAGCCAGAAUACGAGUGGAAGUCUGGCAAGAUGCGAUCUUUACCGUGCAGCUUAGUAAUUACAUCACUGUGGUAUGUAAUCCUGGACCUGUUCCUGGUUCUAGAUUGUCAAACCGAGAAGCGAUAAAAUCGCCGUGCUAGAAGGUAUAAUGCCCAAGAAAGAACUUCACGGAUGUGAAGUAAUCAAUGGUUGUUAAAAGCACCAGUCAACUGGUUCAUCCAAUAGUACUCUGAAAUUCUAUAACCAUUUCCAAAACGAGAUGAGCCAAACUCGCCAGUAUUUUCGCAGCUCCCAGAGAAGUUGACUUCCAGAUAAUGGACACGAACGGGAUAUUAAUAAACUACGAGGAACCAACCAACCAAUACCACCAAAUCCUAUUAAUAAACUUCGUAUUAAAACCAAGGAGUUUAACUCCAACAUUAAUAAUACUCGAUACUCCUAUUGUAAAUGGAGAAGAAAUGGAAACUAGUACGGUUAGUCAAGUAGCUAAAAAA
Molecule: ribosomal RNA, 3098 nt
Filed under: Triticum aestivum (bread wheat)
Lineage: Eukaryota; Viridiplantae; Streptophyta; Magnoliopsida; Poales; Poaceae
Description: partial small subunit ribosomal RNA
Source: RNAcentral